Alosa alosa (allis shad) is the source of this 836-nucleotide long non-coding RNA. RefSeq lists it as uncharacterized. The transcript is spliced from 4 exons. The record is from RefSeq and is a predicted model, not a curated record. NCBI's taxonomy places the organism in Eukaryota, Metazoa, Chordata, Actinopteri, Clupeiformes, Clupeidae.
AGAUCGGAGAACAGUUCUGGACACAGGACUGUUCACAGCGCUGUGAGUGUUUUGCCCCCAAUGACCUUCGCUGUAUCCAGUCCUCUUGCCCCCCAAGUCAGGAAUGCUCUGUCAAAGAUGGCCGCCGGGGUUGCUAUGGUCGCUUGUCAGCCUGCACGGUCUGGGGAGACCCCCACUACUUCACCUUUGAUGGGGCUGUGGCUCACUUUCAGGGCACCUGUGCUUAUGAGAUUACCCACACCUGUGGCAACAUGAGUGAUGAUGCCUUGACCUUCCGCGAUAGUAGCCGCUAACAGUCACCGUGGCAACUUAAUUGUGUCUUUUGUGUCCACUGUGGAUGUGUGGCUCUCUCAGGGAGGAGUUCAAAGCCACAUCAGCAUUGGACAGAACAGGAGAGUCAAGAUUGAUGGCCAAGAUAACAAUGCAAACAGCAUUCACGUUGGCUCCCUGGCACAGUUGACUCGUGAGUCUGGAUUUGUGGUUGUGAAUGCCUCAGGAGAGUUGGUGGUCCAGUUUGAUGGUCGUAGUAGACUUCUAGUCAGACUGAGUCCAGAUUAUCACCAAUCUGUGUGUGGAAUGUGUGGCAAUCACAAUGGCAACCCAGCAGACGACAAAGUUCUGCCCAAUGGCACUCUGGCCCAGACUGACAGGGAAUUCGGUCAAAGUUGGAAAUCAGAUGCAAGCAGUCCUGGAUGUGGAGCAAGUGACCGAAUUGGUGACGACACGUGUGUAUUUGAAGCAGAAUACACAGAUCUGUGCAGCAUCAUCACCAACAGCAGUGGCCCAUUCCAGCAGUGCCACCUGCAUGUUGACCCACAGGCGUACUUCACUUCCUG